Molecule: transfer RNA, 33 nt
Filed under: Artemisia abrotanum
Lineage: Eukaryota; Viridiplantae; Streptophyta; Magnoliopsida; Asterales; Asteraceae
Description: partial tRNA-His
Source: RNAcentral
UCAAGGCAGUGGAUUGUGAAUCCACCAUGACGA